This 486-nucleotide ribosomal RNA is filed under the name Triticum aestivum (bread wheat). RNAcentral's name for it is "partial small subunit ribosomal RNA". Lineage: Eukaryota; Viridiplantae; Streptophyta; Magnoliopsida; Poales; Poaceae. The record is from RNAcentral.
AUGCCCAUGCCUCCGCCGGGGCCCGCCUGGGCCGACUCGCCCGUCUCUGCCUACAUGCGCAUCCUCGAGAACUCCCUCUUCAGCGCCACUCCUCCCGGGGCUGCCGCCGCGGCGGCCGCUGCAGCCCAUGCUCAUGCCGCGGCUGCAGCAGCAGCUGCCGGACGGGGGCCUCCGCAGCACCCUUAUCACCCGCCCCCGCCGCCGGUGCCGUCGCCCGGGAUACUCCCUUCGCCGACCGGAUUCCUCAAUUUGCUCUCGCCGACGCCCAGGUCGCCCUACCCGCUCCUCUCGCCGGGGUUCCAGCAACCCCCUCCGCUCACGCCAAACUUCCCCUUGUUGUCACCGCUGCCAGGAACAGGGAUCCUGGGGCCAGGGCCCAUGCCGCCGCCGCCUUCGCCAGGGCUAUGGUUCCCGCAGUCGCCGUCGGGGCUGCUCUCACCGUCCGGAUUCUUUCCCUUGCUGAGUCCACGGUGGAGAGAUAUGUAG